This 385-nucleotide ribosomal RNA is filed under the name uncultured bacterium. Its description in RNAcentral is "bacterial SSU rRNA". It matches the Rfam family "Bacterial small subunit ribosomal RNA", at positions 28 to 416 of the family's 1533-position model. The record is from RNAcentral.
GACGAACGCUGGCGGCGUGCUUAACACAUGCAAGUCGAGCGGUAAGGCCCUUUUGGGGGUACACGAGCGGCGAACGGGUGAGUAACACGUGGGUGACCUGCCCUCAGCUCUGGGGUAAGCCUGGGAAACUGGGUCUAAUACUGGAUAUGACCUUUCCUCGCAUGGGGUUGGGUGGAAAGUUUUCGGCUGGGGAGUGGGCCCGCGGCCUAUCAGCUUGUUGGUGGGGUGAUGGCCUACCAAGGCGACGACGGGUAGCCGGCCUGAGAGGGCGACCGGCCACACUGGGACUGAGACACGGCCCAGACUCCUACGGGAGGCAGCAGUGGGGAAUAUUGCGCAAUGGGCGGAAGCCUGACGCAGCGACGCCGCGUGGGGGAUGACGGCC